Molecule: ribosomal RNA, 464 nt
Filed under: uncultured bacterium
Lineage: Bacteria
Description: partial 16S ribosomal RNA
Rfam family: Bacterial small subunit ribosomal RNA
Source: RNAcentral
GAUGAACGCUGGCGGCGUGCUUAACACAUGCAAGUCGAACGGAAAGGCCUCUGCUUGCAGGGGUACUCGAGUGGCGAACGGGUGAGUAACACGUGGGUGAUCUGCCCUGCACUUCGGGAUAAGCCUGGGAAACUGGGUCUAAUACCGGAUAGGACAAUGGUUUGGAUGCCGUUGUGGAAAGUUUUUCGGUGUGGGAUGAGCUCGCGGCCUAUCAGCUUGUUGGUGGGGUAAUGGCCUACCAAGGCGUCGACGGGUAGCCGGCCUGAGAGGGUGUACGGCCACAUUGGGACUGAGAUACGGCCCAGACUCCUACGGGAGGCAGCAGUGGGGAAUAUUGCACAAUGGGCGCAAGCCUGAUGCAGCGACGCCGCGUGGGGGAUGACGGCCUUCGGGUUGUAAACUCCUUUCGCUAGGGACGAAGCGCAAGUGACGGUACCUGGAGAAGAAACACCGGCUAACUACGU